RNAcentral lists this ribosomal RNA (482 nucleotides) under uncultured bacterium. Its description in RNAcentral is "partial 16S ribosomal RNA". It matches the Rfam family "Bacterial small subunit ribosomal RNA", at positions 30 to 507 of the family's 1533-position model. The record is from RNAcentral.
AUUGAACGCUGGCGGCAUGCUUUACACAUGCAAGUCGAACGGUAACAGGCCGCAAGGUGCUGACGAGUGGCGAACGGGUGCGUAAUGCAUCGGAACGUGCCCAGUCGUGGGGGAUAACUACUCGAAAGAGUAGCUAAUACCGCAUACGAUCUAUGGAUGAAAGCGGGGGGCCGUAAGGCCUCGCGCGAUUGGAGCGGCCGAUGUCAGAUUAGGUAGUUGGUGGGGUAAAGGCUCACCAAGCCAACGAUCUGUAGCUGGUCUGAGAGGACGACCAGCCACACUGGGACUGAGACACGGCCCAGACUCCUACGGGAGGCAGCAGUGGGGAAUUUUGGACAAUGGGCGCAAGCCUGAUCCAGCAAUGCCGCGUGCAGGAAGAAGGCCUUCGGGUUGUAAACUGCUUUUGUACGGAAAGAAACGGCUCUGGUUAAUACCCGGGGCUAAUGACGGUACCGUAAGAAUAAGCACCGGCUAACUACGUG